AACGAACGCUGGCGGCAUGCCUAACACAUGCAAGUCGAACGAGACCUUCGUGUCUAGUGGCUCACGGGUGCGUAACGCGUGGGAACCUGCCCUUAUGUUCGGAAUAACUCCCCGACAGGGGUGCUAAUACCGGAUAAUGUCUUCGGACCAAAGAUUUAUCGCCUUUGUAUGAGCCCGCGUUCUAUUAGCUUGUUGGGAGUGUAAAAGCCUACCACGGCGGCGAUCCAUAGCUGGUCUGAGAGGAUGAUAAGCCACACUGGGACGGAGACACGGCCCAGACUCCUGGGGGAGGAAGAAGGGGGGAAUAUUGGAGAAGGGGAGGAAGGGGGAACAAGCCAAAACGGGUGGGUGAAGAAGGCCAUCGGGUUGUGAAGCGGUUUAGUGGGGAAGGAAAAGAAGGAGGUUUAUACCGGGAUGAUAUGAAGGUACCCGGAGAAUAAGCACCGGCUAACUUCGUG
This 458-nucleotide ribosomal RNA is filed under the name uncultured bacterium. RNAcentral describes it as "partial 16S ribosomal RNA". It matches the Rfam family "Bacterial small subunit ribosomal RNA", at positions 29 to 507 of the family's 1533-position model. The record is from RNAcentral.